ACAAAACAAUAAUAAAACCAAUUUGAAUGUACGGAAUACCACUAACGGGGACAGCAAUAAUGAGUCACAUAAAUAAACUAGGAUCGCUGUAACAGUCAAUGCCCCAUGGUAUGUCAGAAACAAAAAUAUAGGGACUAAUUUGAUAGGGACAGAGAAACUAUACGUGAUCGUAAGCAUUCAGGCUGCUCAUCUCUCAUUACAGAGGAACUCAAGAAUGAAUCUGCGAUUUCAUUCCAGUUUUUUGCAAAACUUAAAGAACUGUUUGGUCGAUAAUGCAUCACAAGACACGAUGAUUUAAAGGAUUGCGUAAGACGAUGAUUAUGGGAACUAGCGGCGGAAUCAUGAUGAAGAUAUACAAAAACUCGUAUAAUGUUACGAUAAAUGUAUAGUAGUAUAUAUAUACUAAAGUUACAAAUCAAAAAAUCUUUUUAAAAUGUA
Bombus terrestris (buff-tailed bumblebee) is the source of this 438-nucleotide long non-coding RNA. RefSeq lists it as uncharacterized. The record is from RefSeq and is a predicted model, not a curated record. Lineage: Eukaryota; Metazoa; Arthropoda; Insecta; Hymenoptera; Apidae. The transcript is spliced from 2 exons.